Molecule: ribosomal RNA, 327 nt
Filed under: uncultured eukaryote
Lineage: Eukaryota
Description: partial 18S ribosomal RNA
Rfam family: Eukaryotic small subunit ribosomal RNA
Source: RNAcentral
CCCUUAGAUGUUCUGGGCCGCACACGCGCUACACUGAAGGAGGCAGCGUGUACUCCUGGAUCGAAAGAUUUAGGUAACCCGCGAAUCUCCUUCGUGCUAGGGAUUGAGGUUUGCAAUUAUCCUUCAUGAACGAGGAAUUCCCAGUAAGUGCAAGUCAUAAGCUUGCGCUGACUACGUCCCUGCCCUUUGUACACACCGCCCGUCGCUACUACCGAUUGAAUGAUUUAGUGAGGACUUCGGACUGGGACCGAUGCGGCUUUCGGGCUGCGUCGGUAUUCUGGAAAGAUGUCCAAACUGUAUCAUUUAGAGGAAGUAAAAGUCGUANCA